UACAGUUUGUACCCUUGUGUCCUUGACAUGUGUUAAGUUUAUUUUUAAGUUUCUCUUUGAUAGUAGAACUUGAAAGGUGUGUUUUAAAGAAAUCUUGGGAAUACCCCAUUUUUCCCUUGAAUAGAAGGAAAUGGACAAUGAUACAUUGGUGGAGACCAGUGCUGCGGCACAGACAGCUUUCAUACUCUUAAAUUCAUAAGACUGUAUGAUGAAUCUGAUUGUACAUAAGCGAGAAGUUUAUAUGAGACUAGGCCAGCGAUGGAUGACUGGUUUGAGAUAUUUUUAUACAAACUCCUAGAAACACUGACCAGCCUCCCCAGGUGCCACUUCACGGACUAGACUUCUGCAAUUGUUAAAGCUUGUGGUGGUGGCAGAACAAAUUCAAGGUACGUACAUUGCACUGUAUAUAAGAAGUUUUGAAAUUUAUUGCCAAUAGAUAACUUGGUGACAAUUUAUUAAUGGGCUGGAAGCAGAAGACUCAAAUGCACAUACAAAUCUACCACAAGCAAUAUGAAAGGUGCAAGUUUCCUUUGGCAGCUCAGAGUCCUUCGUUGAAGUUGGUGAAGGUGCGGUUGCUCCAGCUUGUCUUCAAAUAAGUUGAAGACAGUCUGUACAAUGAAUUGGAGAACCUGAAGUGAAGUUAACCUCAAGCUUAAAUGCUUCCCGGAGCUAAUCGUCCUCAAGGAAAGCUUACAUGGAACCCAGAUCUACUUUUCCACCAAGAAGAAAGAGUCUUGUUUCAUUAAGAAUCCAAGUUUACAAAUUUUACUUUUAAAAAGUUAAUUAUAGCAAUGUUUAAGCAGUAUCUGUGUUUACUAUUUUGAUUACUACUGCUUCAGCAUUUCUGCUUUAGUCAAACCUACUGUAACUGUAGAUGGAUGCUGUUCUGCCAGAUACUAUCAUUUUGGCAACUGUUGUUUUUGUCUUACUCUAAGCUGAUUUUCUCUGUUUUGCUGUCUCCGCUACCACUGCUGUUCAUGGUGCACUUUCUAUGCAGCCAAUAUCUUCAUUCUUUUGUAUCCACAGUUAAUGUUCAACCUGAUUAUCCAGUUUGUGGGCAAUUCUUACUGGACUAAUUGGUAUAUCUCUAUACCUCCUACUUCAGUCAAACCUGCACAUUUGCUAUGCCCGCUGCCAGUGUUUGCUGUCUCUACUCCUGUGUAGUUGCAGUUUUGCCAGUUGCUACCAUUUCUUGCCCCUUCCACUGUACUGGCUGUUUCUGCUUUUUCUUGCCCCUUCCACUGUACUGGUUGUUUCUGCUUAUAAGUCCCAGUUACUGUCAAGCUGCAGUUUUUACAGAGUUAAUUCUUGUACUGCCUUACAGUUCCUCCUAAUGCUGAUCUAACUUGUACUAGCAAUUACUACUGAAAAACUGCUUCAGCACUUGCUGUCCUGAAAACAUACUGUCCCUCCUGCUUCUGUCACACCUACAGUAACUGCAGUCUCUGCCGUGAAUGCUACACCUGCUGUGUCAAAAUGGUUGCAGCUGUUCAGUCUCUGCUGUCCACAUCAUCCUACUGUACUAAUGGUUCCUGCUUCUCCUUUGACUUCUGUUCUGCUAGUUGCUACUACUUCUCUCUUACUGUGAAUCAUCUGCACUUGUUAAGUUCUGCACUGUGAAAGGUACCCACAUUUGCUAUUCCAUAUUUUUUAUCUGUUUCACUGGUCUUGUGUUGUAUGUUCUGGUUUUUUGCAGUUCAGUGCUUUUGUCACAGCUGCUAAGACUGCUGUCCAGUGGUUGUUGCAGGUUGGUGCAUGAUUUCUCCUUGACUCCUGCUGUGUUAGUGGCUGCUGCACACCCAGUUGGUAAUAUUUCUGUGAAAGCAGUUUCUAUUUCAAGCUGACCUGACUGAUGUACCAGUAGAUGUGUAAUGUUAAUAAUGCAGUUUCCAUGCAGGUGCUUCUUGCACUGUCUUCAGUACAGUUACUACUGUGUUAAUUCUACUAUGAUAGUACCAAUUAUUAUUACUGGACUACUACUUCCCCAGUAGCUGGCUGUUGUUACAUUACAUGGUAUUUUUCAACACUGAUAAUUGUUGCUCUAAAACCUCUGCCCACUACUUCUGUCAUGCCUGCUGUGACUGCCAUUUCUGCCACACUUGACUAAUUACAGUUGCUUUGCUUGUUGUUCAAUAGUUGCUGCAGUUUAGUGCAUAAUUUCUCCAUAACUCUGCUACGUUUGUUGUUGUCCAUUAUUCCAGUUGCUGUUACUGUCAUGCAGUGCUGCUACUUUUGCUGUGCAUAUUACUAUUGCUGGCUGCUGUACCACCUGUUUUACCCAAUAAGCUGGCCACAGCUACUGGAUUACUGCUGCUUCAGUUUAUACUGGUCUUGUGCUGCACUGUACUGACAAUUGCUGCAUUGCCUGUUUGUCACACUUGCUUGGCCUUCUGCUUCUGUUCAGCACCUGCUGUCACUCCUACAGUUAGACAAAAACAGCAGCCACAGGAACCACUAACACUUUGCUUCCUGUAUCUUUAUCUGUGGGGCCAGCUACCAUUGCUGUUCUUGAUACACUUUCCAAGCAGACAAUCCCUGCAUUGUACGUAGAACUGUUCCACCAACUGCCAGGGUUCAGUGCAUGCUGCUUCUGUUCCACAUACUACUAUAAUUGCCAUCUUCACCAUCGCUCCUGGGACAGGUGCCACUGCCUUGACUGCUAUACCUACUCCAACUGCUGUUUAGUAAUUGUUGACAUGAAUUCUGCCAGCUGGCAUCAACACUGGUGGUGUUAGUGGCUUUGUUUCUCCUACCAAGGCUGCUAUUAUGUUUGUUAUUUAUGACUAAUUCCUGAUCCUGCUACUAUAUUAAAAAUGCAGCAUACCCUUCAAAGUCUACAAUUUCUUCUUCUUGUUCUACUUAUUUAGUCCUUGUUCUAGUUACUGGUCCAGUGUGUCAAGUUGGUAAUUGCUACUGACUUUGCUUCCACAUGCCUUCUGUACUUCUUGUUUAUACAAACAGCACGACUACUCUGCUACUCCACCUUUGCCUGUUGUUCAGAGCCCAUUGUCUCGAUCACUCCUGAUGCACCAAUUGUUGCUGCACCUGCUGUGGCUGCUCUUUUGUCAUUAACUUGCUAAGGCUAUUGUCUGUCCCUCAUAGUGAGCUGACUGUUAAGUUUAUUCUGCCAGCUAGUGUUGUUCUUGUACUUUGUGUAGACAAUUCCUGCACUGUCUUCAGUAAUUACAGUUGCUGUUCCAUUAGUUGUUAUCCACUGUGCUGGCAAUAGCUACUGGAAUAAUGCUCCUUCAGUGACUGCUGCUUCUCAUACACCUUCUGUAACUGUCAUCACCACCAAACCUAUUGUGAAAAUUACCUUUGCCUUAAUUGCCACACCUGCUAUGAAUUGGAGGCUCUUGCCUAAUGCCUCUUAUGCUAACAGUUCCAGUUUCUGCUGCACUGGUUGCUGUUGCUCCUAAUGUGGCUGCUGUUGGAGUUCUUGCUCAUAAUAAGGUUGCUGAUCUGUUCACUGCAAAUAUAUAUUACAAUAUGUGACUGCUUUUUCUGUUUCAAGCUGUUCCAUGUGUUUCUGCUUCUAUAAUUGCUGGCUACUACUGCUCUACCUGCUGUAUUUUCUAUGCAGGUAAUUCUUGCAAGGUCUUCAGUAACUAUAAUUCACCUUUUUUUUUUAUCCACAACACUUGCUGUUGCAACUGAUGCUCUACUCUAUCCACAACACUUGCUGUUGCAACUGAUGCUCUACUCUCUCCUGCUACUUUGUCCUUUUCAGCAGUUGCUAUUUACUAAUUCUGUUGCCGAGCACCUGCAGUCACUUCCUCCUGGCUAUAACUAAAUGAAUACUGCCUUUCUUUUAACCUUUGCUUUGUCCAUAUCUUCUUGAUCUGAUAAGGGUAUAAAUACUGACUAGGAUGCCAAAAUCUGCACCCACAAAUACACCCUAUGCAAGCAAAAGUUUCUUUCAGGAUGAAGAAUGGAAUUGGAAAUUAUACAUGCUGGGUAGCUUAAGUCAGAUUAAGCAAGUAAGCAAUUAAAAGAUCAUAUUUAGCUGGCAUGAGUAACUGUUAAACAGAUUUCUAGUCAAAGAUCUGAUCUUCUGAAGCAAAGAAUUAUUCUUCUGAAAACAGCCAGUUUUUACUGACACCUCCCACUCAGCUUUUCAGACAUCCAUUAAGAACUACAAAUAAUUAUCUUAUGGUGUUGCAUAGUUGCCAGGUAAAGAGGCCCACCACCUUGGAUUGUUAUAUUUUUAACGAGACAAAUUUUUCUUUCAUCUACAGAAAAAUUGGUUAUUUGGCUUGAUCCACCUUAACAGGCAAUUGUAUAGGUAAAAUGAGGUUUGUAAUUUGGAAUGCAGACUGAAGUUAGAGGAAAAUCACAAGUACUAUAGUAUAUAAGAGUACCAUAUUCUGAAGAGGAAACUUGAAAGCAAUUUGUGUUAAACGUAAAAGCAAUUUGUGUUAAUAGGCAUCGAAAGAUAAAAAUGCAUUAGAAUUUGGCAUCAAGAAAGUUAAGCAGCAUUUAGAACCCUGGCAUUAACAAAAUUAAGAAUAUAUUAGAACCCCAGCAACAAGAAUGUCAAGAAUCUAUAUUAGAACCCUGGCAGUGUGAGGUUAAUUCCUGCCGAUUAUAGUAGUGUGUCUUAUAGAAUACUAGUUACAUAACUAGAAUACUAGUUACAUAACAGGAACACCAAUGUGCUGUACUUGCUACAUUUGUCUUUAAAUUAUAUGUGGAGGAUUUCCAAUAUAGUGUAAGGUAUUAACAACCAACUAUACAUAAUGUACCACAUUGAAAUCAGUUAAAUAAAAUUUGCAUUAUUUA
Molecule: long non-coding RNA, 4782 nt
Organism: Macrobrachium nipponense
Lineage: Eukaryota; Metazoa; Arthropoda; Malacostraca; Decapoda; Palaemonidae
Exons: 4
Source: RefSeq, a predicted model, not a curated record